GUACUCCAAAUAACCUUACAUGAUACUCCAUGACAACUUGAAGAGCUUGACCAUUGGAAAAUCUUUGAUAUUUUUCAAUUUGCUUGAAUACCCAUGCUCGAAGCUUGUAAAUUGACAUAAAGUAGAUAGAAAGAGAGGUGAGUUCGAAGUUAAUUGAUGUUAACUUCCUCCCAAGAGACAAGAAUUUGUUUUUUUAUGUUGCCAAUCUAGCUUUAACCCUUUGAAUUAAGACAAUCCACUCAGCUUUAGUAGGUUUACCUUCAUACAGAAGAAGCCCAAGGUAUUUGAUUGGAAGAGAUGAGCAGCUACAAUUUAGUCAACUACCCAUCUUGUUGUAACCAUGCCGUCUUGUCCAAAGUCUUCUUAAGCGAAACAAUUUUCGGACAUACUCCUUUGCUUUUUUUUUCUAUUUUCUUGUUUUGCGAGGGAUGAUAUAUCUUAUCGGACGUGUGGAUAUGUUGGCCUAAACGCUGCAUUAGGCUUGCGACGUGUCUCCUAAAGGGCUAAGCCCACUACACCAUCCCAUCCGAUAAGGAGUCAGCACCGUAGGUGAUUUCCUUCCAUCUUCUCUCUAUUUCCCCCUC
This 584-nucleotide long non-coding RNA is filed under the name Phoenix dactylifera (date palm). Its description in RNAcentral is "long non-coding RNA (PDAC_LNC012423)". Lineage: Eukaryota; Viridiplantae; Streptophyta; Magnoliopsida; Arecales; Arecaceae. The record is from RNAcentral.